UGACUGAUCCAGCUGUAGUCUACUCAGCAGUGAAAGAAGAAGCUAGCACUUACAGACAAGUCAACAUCAAAGGGAAGAAGAAAAAAUCAAAGACAAUAGAGUGUGAUCAAGCUGCAGUCUACUCAGCAGUGAGAAAAGAAGACAUCAGUCCUGGACAAGAAGUCAUCAGACCAAAGAAGAGCAGAGCGUGUGAUCAAGCUGCAGUCUACUCAGCAGUGAGAAAAGAAGACAUCAGUUCUGGACUAGUAGCCUCCAGACCAAAGAAGAGCAGAGACUUUAAACCAGAGCCAGACGUCGUCUACUCUUCACUGAAGUAGUCCACCAGUCCAACCACUGACAUCCAGCUGCUGGUCUCUAACUGGUCCAUCCCAGCACCUCAGACCAGAGGACAUCCACAUGAUACAAAGAUUUUUUAUGUUGUUUUUUGUUUAUUUGCUUGCUUUUUUUAUUGUUGAGACACAUGAUUCAAAAAACAGAUCUUAUUUUAAGUGGAGUGUUAUAUACACAAUUAAAAUCCACCUUGAUAAUGUAAACAUA
Oreochromis aureus is the source of this 537-nucleotide long non-coding RNA. RefSeq lists it as uncharacterized. The transcript has 4 exons. NCBI's taxonomy places the organism in Eukaryota, Metazoa, Chordata, Actinopteri, Cichliformes, Cichlidae. The record is from RefSeq and is a predicted model, not a curated record.